Molecule: long non-coding RNA, 306 nt
Organism: Papaver somniferum (opium poppy)
Lineage: Eukaryota; Viridiplantae; Streptophyta; Magnoliopsida; Ranunculales; Papaveraceae
Exons: 3
Source: RefSeq, a predicted model, not a curated record
CAGCUGCGCCAUGUGAUUUUACUUCUUUGUCAAUUCGUGAAUUACAUUGAGGUGAUCCGGUUACCUAUAUACUACCCCUCAGAUCAAGAAAAGGAUGAUCCAAAACUUUAUGCACAUAAUAUACGGAAAUUAAUGGCGUGUGAGGGUAAUCUAAUACUCUCAGAUAUUGGGCUAGCCGAGAAGCGAGUCUACCAUGCUGCGCUAAAUGAUUUCCUCCAAAGCUAAACUUGGAUGCUUGGGACCUGUAAAUACUCUUUAAAGGCUGUUUUCUCUUGUUUGAUACAAAUUCUUUCAUCGACCUUUUUU